This 123-nucleotide ribosomal RNA is filed under the name uncultured bacterium. RNAcentral's name for it is "partial 16S ribosomal RNA". It matches the Rfam family "Bacterial small subunit ribosomal RNA", at positions 355 to 492 of the family's 1533-position model. The record is from RNAcentral.
UGGGGAAUAUUGGGCAAUGGGCGCAAGCCUGACCCAGCAACGCCGCGUGAGGGAAGAAGGCUUUCGGGUUGUAAACCUCUGUCCUUGGUGACGAAAAAAAUGACGGUAGCCAAGGAGUCCUGU